AUGUCAUCCUCCUCCUCCCCCGUCGCCAUGGCCUCCCACUCCCUCGCAUCCCUUGGUCACACGAUCACAGAAAAGCUGACUAGGGAGAACUUCCUGGUAUGGAAGGCGCAAGUCCUGCCGCACAUCAAGGCCGCAGGCAUGAUGGGCUACCUUGACGGAUCACGCAAGGAGCCAGCCGCUGUUCUUCUCACCGAGAGGGACCUCGCCGACGGGAAGAAGGAAACCGUCUCCACGCCGAACCCCGAGCACGCUGUCUGGGAGACACAGGACCAACAGGUGCUUACUUUCUUGAUCGCAUCUCUGUCUCGUGAUGUUCUUAUGCAAGUCUCGAACCAUACCACUUCUGCUGGCAUCUGGCAAGCCCUGGUGCAAAGCUUCUCAUCGCAAUCUAGGGCACGAACUCUUCAGCUUCGGUCUGCCCUAGGUAAUACGCGCAAGGAGGACAUGUCGGCAGCAGCCUACUUCACCAAGAUGAAGGGCAUUGCUGACGAACUUGCAGCUGCUGGGAAGCCCCUUGGAGAAGAUGACCUUGUCGAUCAGAUUCUUCAGGGCCUGGUGCACGAACCGGACUACAACGGCUUUGUUUCAGCAAUCUCCACGCGCGCCGCCACGGACCAACCGAUCGGGCUCACGGAGCUCUUCUCGUUGCUCCUGGCGGCUGAAGGUCGCAUCGCUGCCCAGCAGGCAGCGUUUUCGCCAAAUCACUCUGCCAAUCUCGCGUCGCGCGGCGGCGGCCGUGGCGGCAACUACAGCCGUGGAGGCGGCAGUGGUGGCGGCUACAACAACAACUCCGGGCCACCACGCUACAACGACAACUCCGGUGGUGGCUCGUCUGGUGGCGCACCGCGCAACCAGGGUGGUGACCGCGGUGACCGCGGUGAUCGCGAGCGCUGUCAGAUCUGCAAGGAGGAGGGCCAUGGAGCGUGGCGCUGCCGAAAGCGGUAUGACAAGGGCUACAACAACAACGUCCGCAACCCUGCUGGUGGUGGUGGUCGCGGCAACAACGGCGGUGGCGGUGGUGGCAAUGGCGGCCAACCUCGCGCUGCCAAUGCAGCCCACUCCUAUGGUGUGGAUACCAACUGGUAUCUCGACACUGGCGCUACAGAUCACAUCACCGGCGAGUUAGAGAAACUCGCCGUCCGUGAUCGGUACACUGGCAAUGAACAGAUUCACACCGCUAGCGGUCAAGGCUACCCGGAGAACCAUUCUUCAAAACAAGAGUAA
Molecule: ribosomal RNA, 1224 nt
Filed under: Triticum aestivum (bread wheat)
Lineage: Eukaryota; Viridiplantae; Streptophyta; Magnoliopsida; Poales; Poaceae
Description: partial small subunit ribosomal RNA
Source: RNAcentral